RNAcentral lists this ribosomal RNA (181 nucleotides) under Vulpes vulpes (red fox). RNAcentral's name for it is "partial small subunit ribosomal RNA". The record is from RNAcentral. Lineage: Eukaryota; Metazoa; Chordata; Mammalia; Carnivora; Canidae.
AUAAAUAGUUCUGUAACAAAACAAUUCGCCAGAGAACUACUAGCAACAGCUUAAAACUCAAAGGACUUGGCGGUGCUUUAUAUCCCUCUAGAGGAGCCUGUUCUAUAAUCGAUAAACCCCGAUAAACCUCACCAUCCCUUGCUAAUACAGUCUAUAUACCGCCAUCUUCAGCAAACCAGAU